GUGGGGAAUUUUGGACCAUGGGCGCAAGCCUGAUCCAGCAAUGCCGCGUGUGUGAAUAAGGCCUUCGGGUUGUAAAGCACUUUUGGCAGGGAAGAAACAGUGCGUGCUCAUACCAUGCGCGAAUGACGGUACCUGAAGAAUAAGCACCGGCUAACUACGUGCCAGCAGCCGCGGUAAUACGUAGGGUGCAAGCGUUAAUCGGAAUUACUGGGCGUAAAGCGUGCGCAGGCGGCUUUGUCAGCAGGAUGUGAAAGCCCCGGGCGCAACCUGGGAAGUGCUUGCGGGACGGCAAGGCUAGGGUGUGUCAGAGGGAGGUGGAAUUGCGCGUGUAGCAGUGAAAUGCGUAGAGAUGCGGAGGAACACCGAUGGCGAAGGCAGCCUGCUUGGAUAACACUGACGCUCAGGCACGAAAGCGUGGGGAGCAAACAGGAUUAGAAACCCGAGUAGUCC
This 450-nucleotide ribosomal RNA is filed under the name uncultured bacterium. Its description in RNAcentral is "bacterial SSU rRNA". It matches the Rfam family "Bacterial small subunit ribosomal RNA", at positions 354 to 796 of the family's 1533-position model. The record is from RNAcentral.